GCCACUGCACUCCAGCCUGGGUGAUAGAGCCAGACUCUGUCUCAAAUAUAAAUAGAUAAAUAAAAUUUUAAAAAAUUAAAAAAAUAGAGUGUUUGUAAAGGCCAGGCGUGGUGACUCACACCUGUAACCCCAGCACUUUGGGAGGCCAAGGCAGGAGGAUCACUUGAGGUCAGGAGUUUAAGACCAGCUUGGGCAACAUAGCGAGACCCUGUCUCUACAAUAAAAAAUUAUUUGGACAUGGUGGUGCGUGCCUGUAGUCCCAGCUACUCAGGAGGCUGAGGUGGGAGGAUCGUUUGAGCCUGGGAGGUUGAGGCUUCAGGGAAAUGUGGUCAUGCUACUGCACUUCAGCCUGGUGGCAGAGUGAGACCCUGCCUCAAAAAAAUAAAAAAUAAAUGAUUGUAAACAUAGAAUUGGGGAAGACUGGGUGAAAUUCACCAUCAGCUGUGUUGUUGAUAUCUUGUUGCACGUGGUUUUGACAGCAAAUACCCUCAACAUUGAGAAAUGUACUGAUUUUCAUGACUAGUCUAUUUUGAAGUGAUGGCCUUUUAAGGGACCACAGCCAAACCAUUUUGGGCAGAGGUGGUGAGCACCUUAAGGGAAGUAGAAAUUCCUUCAUAUUGACACUCAUUCCGCAAAGAGGAAUUUGCUGAAAUCAGAAACAUGGACUCAGAAAGCAGGUCUGAUUGAAGCAGAAAAGCGUUUGAAAAAAAAAAAAUCCAACACUCAUUUCUCCAGCCUGGGCGAGAGAGCAAGACGCCGUCUCAAAAAA
RNAcentral lists this long non-coding RNA (769 nucleotides) under Homo sapiens (human). Its description in RNAcentral is "HSALNT0029687". Lineage: Eukaryota; Metazoa; Chordata; Mammalia; Primates; Hominidae. The record is from RNAcentral.